Molecule: non-coding RNA, 575 nt
Organism: Peromyscus maniculatus bairdii (prairie deer mouse)
Lineage: Eukaryota; Metazoa; Chordata; Mammalia; Rodentia; Cricetidae
Source: RefSeq, a predicted model, not a curated record
CCGGCUUCCCAGGGAAGCCUUGGAGGCCUGGCUCACCCUUGGGACCUGGUGGACCCUGUGGUCCUACAACCCCACCUUCUCCUUUGGGUCCAGGGAAACCAAUAGCACCCGGAGGACCCAUGGGACCUGGGAUUCCAGAAUUUGGGAAGGUCGAAGUUGUAUACUGAAAGGAAAAACAACAACAACAACAACAACAACAACACGUCACCAUUGAGCCCACAAAGCAGAGAUAUGUACUCGACAUGAUUUUCAUCUUAUUUGUUUAAGGUGCUGAAAUACGGGUGAUGAAAAUCAUUUUUCCCAUGGACCCAGGAAAAAGGAAAGCUCUUUGUUUUGCAAGCAACUCUAUAUGAUCCAUGCUAUUGGGAGCAGUGGGGAAUGAAGACAUGAAACAUGUGGUCCAAAGUCUUCUUUCAACUAUACAAGUAAUCAUCUGAGGAGAUACAAGAUGCACCAGACGCCAGGCAGGCCAUGCAAGAAAGGAGGGGGAAAAAGACCUGGAGUGGGUCUCUCUCAACGUUCCCAAUGCUGUGACCCUUUCAUACAAAAUGCUACUUCAUUACUGUAAUUUUGCU